This is a long non-coding RNA of Argiope bruennichi, 398 nucleotides long. RefSeq lists it as uncharacterized. The transcript has 4 exons. The record is from RefSeq and is a predicted model, not a curated record. NCBI's taxonomy places the organism in Eukaryota, Metazoa, Arthropoda, Arachnida, Araneae, Araneidae.
CUGCGAUAUCUACAAUGAAUUCUUCUGCUUUGGUGAUCCUGGUGGCAGUAUUGAUGGUUGCUGCAGUAGAGGCACAGAUACCAUGCGGACAUAACGCUUGCACUAACAACCAAUACUGCUUCUUUUUCACGUGUGUAAAUUACAUUGGAAGAGGUGGUUCAUGCACUUUUGGCAGAUGUGCUCCCGGACUACAAUGUCGCUUUGUGAACCUUCGUAAAACCUGUGUCUGAGCAGUCUAUGCGACAUUUUUCCGAUGUAUUCCUGGCAGUAGGUACAGAAUGCCAGGAUGAAAAAGCAGCACAAUGAUUGAACGCAAUUUUUAAAUGAAAAAAAAAAUGUUUUUCUGAAUUAAGUAUAUUGUAAAAUUCCCCCUCAAUAUUGCUAAUAAAUAGAUUACA